This is a non-coding RNA of Macaca mulatta (Rhesus monkey), 443 nucleotides long. The record is from RefSeq and is a predicted model, not a curated record. NCBI's taxonomy places the organism in Eukaryota, Metazoa, Chordata, Mammalia, Primates, Cercopithecidae.
GGGGCCUUGCGGGCAGGCGGGCGGAGAAGGCGGACCGCCGGGAGGAGCAGACGUGGGAAAUCAAAUUAAGGAUCACUAGAAAUAGAAAAUGUGGAUCUUUUACCCCAUGAUGGAAAAUGCUACAGAUGAACCAAAAAGCAUCGGGGUAAGAAGCAUCGUACAGCAUCUGAACAGUCCACCAACCUUACGAUAGAUGGGAGUCUUGCCAUGUUGCCUAGCCUGAAGUUCAGUGGCUAUUCACAGCACGAUCACAGCACACUACAGCCUCAAACACCUGUGCUCAGCAAUCCUCCUGCCUCAGCCUCCUGAGUAGCUGAAACUACUGUGUGCACCACACCCAGCCGUGUAAAUGGUAAAACCAACCUGCUAAUUUCUACGAAAUACCCUAAUGGGGUUUUUAUUGAGAUUACAUUAAAUCUAUAAAUCAAUUUGGGAAGAAAUGA